Molecule: long non-coding RNA, 367 nt
Organism: Populus nigra (black poplar)
Lineage: Eukaryota; Viridiplantae; Streptophyta; Magnoliopsida; Malpighiales; Salicaceae
Exons: 3
Source: RefSeq, a predicted model, not a curated record
GGGGCCAACAACAACAAGGAAGAGCGAGUUGAGCUUCUGCAGCUGGAUGGAGGCAAAUAUCGUAUCGCUUGGGACGUGAGAAUAGAAGUUCAUUAACCAUGGUCCUUCAGAUUCACGCCAGGAGUAGCGUUUUAGGUCCUCUAGUCUCCUUUUGUAUGAUUGAAUAAGAAGAUGAACAUUAAUGUAUUUUGUCUUUAAGGAACUAAAUGACUUAAUAUGUAAUAGUACUCCUUUUACAUUAAGUGUCGGAUAUAAAAAUGUAUUAUUCUGUAUUUGUAAUCUUAGUUUGUUUACUUGCAAUUGUUAUGAAUUAUGUGUGUUAAUGGGAAAGAAAUGAGCAUGCGAAAUGUGAGGCAUGUACCAUGAA